CCAGGCUCCUGAACGGGAGUGAGAUUUUUUUUAAACCUGAUGUCACAUCCAGGACAAACAAGAGAAGUCCUUUUAACCAAAUAGGACUCCUAUAUAACAAGAGUCUUUGAGAAGAGAGUCGUAUGACCUAAGAUGUCCCCUCCAACUACUUUGGAAAAGACAGUUUCCAGAAGGUUCUGAAAUGCGUGGUUUCAGCAUCCACUGGGGAGCUUGGAAUGUACCUACAGCAGAGAGACAUCUAUCUGCACAUGUGCACAAGGUGAAGAUUGAAUGCAGCAUUGUCUGUCUUAGCAAAAGCUAAACACAACCCAAAUAUCCAGGGAUAGGAAAAUAACUCAAUAAACGUCGGCUUAUCCUUAUUAUGGAAUCCCACACAGCAGUUGCAGAUCUUCAUGUGUUGACGUGGAAAUGUCUCCAAGGCAUACUGCCAAGUGAAUGGACAGCAUGUUAACGUCUGUGCGCCACUCGGCCUCACAAAUAAAAACGAUUCAGCAUAUCUAUCUGUCUAUAUCUCACUUAGGUAUCUGAAAAUAUACGUACGUACAUUUCAAAAAAGGGUACGCAUUAACCAAUAAUAGUGGCUGUCUCUAUGAUGGCUAUAACAACUCGAUUGAAGCUGGUUAAUGAGGACUUUAGUCUUACCGGUUUUAAGGAAGUUUUCAACAAGAACAUGUUUGUUUACAAUAUGCGUAAUUUUAAAGUGUUUUAAAAAAUAACUGUGAAGAUUUCACUACACUAAUACUUACCAAGGCAUUAUUCGGUAGAGUGAAAAUUUGGAAAUAGCAUAAUUGUCCAACUACAAGGUAUUUAGUUAAAUAUAUUAGGGGAGAUCUCAUGAUACAUUACAACACAACCAUCAAAAUAAUAUUUAGAAGUCCAGUAAACAACCAAGAGGAAAUGUUCAGAAUAAUGAUCAAAAGAAAAAAGCAGAUUACGAAACAGAGUGC
This 947-nucleotide long non-coding RNA is filed under the name Homo sapiens (human). RNAcentral's name for it is "HSALNT0324004". The record is from RNAcentral. Lineage: Eukaryota; Metazoa; Chordata; Mammalia; Primates; Hominidae.